UACGAAGGUCCCAAGCGUUAUCCGGAUUUAUUGGGUUUAAAGGGUGCGUAGGCGGAUUAUUAAGUCAGUGGUGAAAGCCUUCAGCUUAACUGAAGAACUGCCAUUGAUACUGAUGAUCUUGAGUAUGAUUGAGGUGGGCGGAAUGUGUCAUGUAGCGGUGAAAUGCUUAGAUAUGACACAGAACACCGAUUGCGAAGGCAGCUCACUAAGUCAUAACUGACGCUGAGGCACGAAAGCGUGGGGAGCAAACAGG
Molecule: ribosomal RNA, 253 nt
Filed under: uncultured bacterium
Lineage: Bacteria
Description: partial 16S ribosomal RNA
Rfam family: Bacterial small subunit ribosomal RNA
Source: RNAcentral